UACGGAGGGUGCAAGCGUUAUCCGGAUUCACUGGGUUUAAAGGGUGCGUAGGUGGGUAGGUAAGUCAGUGGUGAAAUCUCCGAGCUUAACUCGGAAACUGCCAUUGAUACUAUCUAUCUUGAAUAUCCUGGAGGUGAGCGGAAUAUGUCAUGUAGCGGUGAAAUGCUUAGAUAUGACAUAGAACACCAAUUGCGAAGGCAGCUCACUACGGGAUUAUUGACACUGAGGCACGAAAGCGUGGGGAUCAAACAGG
Molecule: ribosomal RNA, 253 nt
Filed under: uncultured bacterium
Lineage: Bacteria
Description: partial 16S ribosomal RNA
Rfam family: Bacterial small subunit ribosomal RNA
Source: RNAcentral